GUGACAUACCUAUACGUUGCCUCGGCGGAUCAGCCCGCGCCCUGUAAAAAGGGACGGCCCGCCCGAGGACCCUAAACUCUGUUUUUAGUGGAACUUCUGAGUAAAACAAACAAAUAAAUCAAAACUUUCAACAACGGAUCUCUUGGUUCUGGCAUCGAUGAAGAACGCAGCAAAAUGCGAUAAGUAAUGUGAAUUGCAGAAUUCAGUGAAUCAUCGAAUCUUUGAACGCACAUUGCGCCCCCAGUAUUCUGGCGGGCAUGCCUGUUCGAGCGUCAUUUCAACCCUCAAGCUCAGCUUGGUGUUGGGACUCGCGGUAACCCGCGUUCCCCAAAUCGAUUGGCGGUCACGUCGAGCUUCCAUAGCGUAGUAAUCAUACACCUCGUUACUGGUAAUCGUCGCGGCCACGCCGUAAAACCCCAACUUCUGAAUGUUGACCUCGGAUCAGGUAGGAAUACCCGCUGAACUUAAGCAUAUCAA
RNAcentral lists this ribosomal RNA (477 nucleotides) under Fusarium sp. RNAcentral describes it as "eukaryotic LSU rRNA". The stretch from base 123 to 275 matches the Rfam family "5.8S ribosomal RNA". The record is from RNAcentral. Lineage: Eukaryota; Fungi; Ascomycota; Sordariomycetes; Hypocreales; Nectriaceae.